AGAGUUUGAUCAUGGCUCAGGAUGAAUGCUGGCGGCGUGGAUAAGGCAUGCAAGUCAAGGGGCUCGCAAGAGCACCGGCAGACGAGGUAGUAAUACGCAGGUACGCACCUAAGAGUCUGGCAUAGCUCGUCGAAAGACGGGGUAAUUUCAGAUGGUGAGGCAACUCUAAAGUAGUAAUACGCUCUUUGAGCGGCCUGCGCGGUAUCAGCUAGUUGGUGAGGUAAUGGCUCACCAAGGCGACGACACCUAGGGGACCUGAGAGGGUGAMCCCCACCGAUGGGACUGAGACACGGCCCAUACACCUACGGGUGGCUGCAGUCAAGAAACUUCCACAAUGGACGAAAGUCUGAUGGAGCGACGCCGCGUGGUUGAUGAAGUCCUU
RNAcentral lists this ribosomal RNA (382 nucleotides) under uncultured bacterium SY4-15. RNAcentral describes it as "bacterial SSU rRNA". It matches the Rfam family "Bacterial small subunit ribosomal RNA", at positions 8 to 418 of the family's 1533-position model. The record is from RNAcentral. Lineage: Bacteria; Pseudomonadati; Pseudomonadota; Alphaproteobacteria; Hyphomicrobiales.